Molecule: long non-coding RNA, 2547 nt
Organism: Oncorhynchus keta (chum salmon)
Lineage: Eukaryota; Metazoa; Chordata; Actinopteri; Salmoniformes; Salmonidae
Exons: 4
Source: RefSeq, a predicted model, not a curated record
AUACACAAUACAUACAUAACAAAAACAUAACAUUCAUUGUUAGUCCACCAGAACCAACACCUACAAUUCAUGAACCCCCUUUUUAGUUACAGCGAUGCUCUAGUUUCCAACCACUAUCCUUCAUGUAUAUUAUGUUGUCAUCAAAUAACACUUGAAUAACCUUUCUAAAACAUGUGAAAACAUGAACAUUGGCAAUGAGCUUAGCUAGAUUCUAUUCCCUCGGCUCAGUGUAACAGUUGCCUUUUUUCACUUGGCCCUAAUUUCAACUUCCGAAGUUAUUCAGCGACCGUCAGAUUGCUGCCAAGGCCACCCUGUCACGCUGCAAGCACUUCAUACACGGCUGUUAGCCUACACUUGCGAAAAAACAAGCAUGUCGUAACAUUGGUUGAGCAACUGUUGUGCUGACAGCGAGUACUCUUCCACUCUCUCUCUUUCUGCCUCACUUCCUCUCUACAGUUUUCUGGAGUUAAAAAAUAAUAAUAUAUGUCUGACAGAGAAAAGAGUAGGCAGCAGGCGGACACAUAUGGAAGCCAGUCUUCCCCUGAGAUGUCUGCAGUGUCUGUCUGCAAGCCUGCUGUACUAGCUCUCUGCAUUCAUCUCUUCUUGAACAUAAAGAACGGUCGCUAAAUGCUAACUCGUUAACUAGCCAGACACGGUCAACGACAGGGUAGUCGGACUAUGACAGAGAGCUUAAUCCUCCUUGGAGGACACAGAGUAAGACCCAGGGCCAAGGGAAAAGAGGCAGCAGUCGGGGGAGGCUGGCUACUCCGUACUCUGACUAAAUUACUUCCGGCGCCGACAGAGAUGGCCGCCUCGCUUCGCGUUCCAAGGAAACUAUGCAGUAUUUCUUUUUUUUACGUGUUAUUUUGUACAUUGGUACCCCACUUAAUCUUAGGUUUUAUUACGUACAGUCGGGAGGAACUAUUGGAUAUAAGAGCAACGUCAACUCACCAUCAUUAUGACCAGGAAUACGACUUUCCGAAGCGUAUCCUCUGUUUUGCCCACCACCAGGGACAAUGGAUCGAAUCAAACCAAAACAACAAUGCCGUAAAAGGGGCAGACGAAGCGGUCUUCUAGUCAGGCUCCGGAGACAGGCACAUUGCGCACCGCUCCCGAGCAUACUACUCGCCAAUGUCCAGUCUCUUGACAACAAGGUUGAUGAAAUACGAGCAAGGGCAGCAUUCCAGAGAGACAUAUAUAACUAACAUUCUUUGCUUCACGGAAACAUGGCUCACUCGAGACACGCUAUCGGAGUUGGUACAGCCACCUGGUUUCUUCACCCAUCACGCCGACAGAAACAAGCAUCUUUCUGAGUGCGAGCUGAUCAAGGGUUCGAAAAUGUGGAUAUUGCCAGAUGUUCACUGUUUGAGGAACAGGCCGGAGAAGCCUUAUUGUUGGCAAAAGUGUCCAUAACCAGAGAUUCAGCAGGUGGAGGACCUGCUUUAGCAGGAAGAUCAUCUGGAAACACUGACAAUGGGUCAUUGUUCCUGACAUCCCAUGCUCCCUGUCUACUGAGAAUCUUGCUGUGCUCCAACGUCAAGUGAACCCUACCAACGACUCAUCUUUUGGUCAGGACAUAUACAUGCAUGCUCUUCGAUUAGUAUUGAGUCUCCAACCUUUUCAGGUGCAGUCCUCCCACACUAUAUAGGAUAUUGUUUUAGCCCCAGUGCCACUCUUGAUAAUGGCAAACAUUUUGUAUUUUUUGGAGGAGGGUGAAAGGAUAGCAGGCCCAGCUGUCAAAGUGAGAGGGGAGGCUAUUCUGCAUAGAGCGGGUACUUGUGUGUAGUCUAUUUCUUGUGAGCUUUUCUGUCCUCAGAUACAGAGAGCUGUGAAAGCCUGUCUGCAGAUUAAGAGGUCCCAAUGAAGAGCAGGGGUUUUCAGUCCUGGUGCUGGGGACUCAAAACGUUUGUUUGUGCCUUGGCACUACACAGCCGAUUCAAAUGAUCAAGUCACCAUCAAGCUUCAAAUGGUGUUUUGAUGUGAGAGAGGAAGACCCGAGGAAAUCCCGUCAGCGCCGCCUCACCCGCUCUUAAGAUAAUCUACGGGCCGACUGGGAGUCCAAGGCUGGUUAGAAGACACCGCUAGAGACACUAUGUAAUUGUGAUGAACUGAGAGAAUAUUAGGGUGGCACUAAUUCAUUAAUCAUAUGCUGUCUUCCCUGCUCCUCUGUUUUACCUCUCUCCCCACCUCUUUCUUGUAUUUAUAAUGAAUGUAUUAUGUAUUUAUAACACCUGGAUAAUGAACUUUCAAUAAAGCGUUUCACAUUCUCCACUGGUUGAAAUUAAGUAUCUCAUUAAGAUACUACACCUAUCCUGUGUCCUCAGAUUAAUUUUAUUUUUAUUUUAUUUUACCAGGCAAGUCAGUUAAGAACAAAUUCUUAUUUUCAAUGACGGCCUAGGAACAGUGGGUUAACUGCCUGUUCAGGGGCAGAACGACAGAUUUGUACCUUGUCAGCUCGGGGGUUUGAACUCGCAACCUUCCGGUUACUCGUCCAGCGCUCUAACCACUAGGCUACCCUGCCGAUGAUGAAGGGAGUUAGAUUUGCAU